UCCCUGAGUUCUGUGAGCCACUCUGGCA
Molecule: non-coding RNA, 28 nt
Filed under: Homo sapiens (human)
Lineage: Eukaryota; Metazoa; Chordata; Mammalia; Primates; Hominidae
Source: RNAcentral